RNAcentral lists this ribosomal RNA (1247 nucleotides) under metagenome. Its description in RNAcentral is "bacterial SSU rRNA". It matches the Rfam family "Bacterial small subunit ribosomal RNA", at positions 241 to 1498 of the family's 1533-position model. The record is from RNAcentral.
UUAGCUUGUUGGCGGGGUAACGGCCCACCAAGGCAACGAUCAGUAGGGGUUCUGAGAGGAAGGUCCCCCACAUUGGAACUGAGACACGGUCCAAACUCCUACGGGAGGCAGCAGUGAGGAAUAUUGGUCAAUGGACGAGAGUCUGAACCAGCCAAGUAGCGUGCAGGAAGACGGCCCUAUGGGUUGUAAACUGCUUUUAUAAGGGAAUAAAGUGAGAGUCGUGACUCUUUUUGCAUGUACCUUAUGAAUAAGGACCGGCUAAUUCCGUGCCAGCAGCCGCGGUAAUACGGAAGGUCCGGGCGUUAUCCGGAUUUAUUGGGUUUAAAGGGAGCGUAGGCCGGAGAUUAAGCGUGUUGUGAAAUGUAGACGCUCAACGUCUGCACUGCAGCGCGAACUGGUUUCCUUGAGUACGCACAAAGUGGGCGGAAUUCGUGGUGUAGCGGUGAAAUGCUUAGAUAUCACGAAGAACUCCGAUUGCGAAGGCAGCUCACUGGAGCGCAACUGACGCUGAAGCUCGAAAGUGCGGGUAUCGAACAGGAUUAGAUACCCUGGUAGUCCGCACGGUAAACGAUGGAUGCCCGCUGUUGGUCUGAAUAGGUCAGCGGCCAAGCGAAAGCAUUAAGCAUCCCACCUGGGGAGUACGCCGGCAACGGUGAAACUCAAAGGAAUUGACGGGGGCCCGCACAAGCGGAGGAACAUGUGGUUUAAUUCGAUGAUACGCGAGGAACCUUACCCGGGCUUGAAUUGCAGAGGAAGGAUUUGGAGACAAUGACGCCCUUCGGGGCCUCUGUGAAGGUGCUGCAUGGUUGUCGUCAGCUCGUGCCGUGAGGUGUCGGCUUAAGUGCCAUAACGAGCGCAACCCCUCUCCUUAGUUGCCAUCAGGUUAAGCUGGGCACUCUGGGGACACUGCCACCGUAAGGUGUGAGGAAGGUGGGGAUGACGUCAAAUCAGCACGGCCCUUACGUCCGGGGCUACACACGUGUUACAAUGGCAGGUACAGAGAGACGGUCCCUUGCAAAACGGAUCAAAUCCUUAAAGCCUGUCUCAGUUCGGACUGGGGUCUGCAACCCGACCCCACGAAGCUGGAUUCGCUAGUAAUCGCGCAUCAGCCAUGGCGCGGUGAAUACGUUCCCGGGCCUUGUACACACCGCCCGUCAAGCCAUGAAAGCCGGGGGCGCCUAAAGUCCGUGACCGUAAGGAGCGGCCUAGGGCGAAACUGGUAAUUGGGGCUAAGUCGUAACAAGGUA